This 166-nucleotide microRNA precursor is filed under the name Oryza nivara. Its description in RNAcentral is "MIR812 microRNA precursor family". It matches the Rfam family "MIR812 microRNA precursor family", at positions 27 to 189 of the family's 205-position model. The record is from Rfam by way of RNAcentral. Lineage: Eukaryota; Viridiplantae; Streptophyta; Magnoliopsida; Poales; Poaceae.
GACAACCCCUGGAUUUCUGUCUUAUAUGAAAUUUUUUUAUAAUUCGUAUUUUCAUUGUUGUUAUAUGAUAAAAUAUGAUUAAUAUUUUAUGCGUGACUUGUCUUUUUAAUUUUUUUUCAUAAUUUUUUUAAAUAAGACGGACGGUCAAACGUUGGGUAUGGAAACC